Molecule: ribosomal RNA, 253 nt
Filed under: uncultured bacterium
Lineage: Bacteria
Description: partial 16S ribosomal RNA
Rfam family: Bacterial small subunit ribosomal RNA
Source: RNAcentral
UACGUAGUGUGCAAGCGUUAAUCGGAAUUACUGGGCGUAAAGCGUGCGCAGGCGGUUAUGCAAGUCAGAUGUGAAAUCCCCGGGCUCAACCUGGGAACUGCAUUUGUGACUGCAUGGCUAGAGUGCGGCAGAGGGGGAUGGAAUUCCGCGUGUAGCAGUGAAAUGCGUAGAUAUGCGGAGGAACACCGAUGGCGAAGGCAAUCCCCUGGGCCUGCACUGACGCUCAUGCACGAAAGCGUGGGGAGCAAACAGG